RNAcentral lists this long non-coding RNA (807 nucleotides) under Populus tremula. RNAcentral's name for it is "long non-coding RNA (PTRE_LNC000626)". Lineage: Eukaryota; Viridiplantae; Streptophyta; Magnoliopsida; Malpighiales; Salicaceae. The record is from RNAcentral.
AAAUACAAAUUCAAAUUCAAAUUCAAAUUCAAAUUAAAUAAAUAAAAAUUACAUUAAUUAAUUUAAAAAAUUACAAAAUAGUCCCUAAAAUCUCCAGAAAUUGCAGGGAAGGGCUUCUGGGGCUGCAUGAACAGUAGCGACGCGUCUUCCCACGCGCCACCGCCACUGGCGGCGCGUGGGUUCACGCGCCGCAGCCAGAAAACCCCAGAAACAGGGGGGUAUGGACCGGCUUCUUCGUCUCAGCCCCCCUACGCCGGCGGUGACACCCACCGUCACCUGCAACCACAAGAAAACGCACAAACAGCAGUCCAUUUUAAGUUGUUUGUUUCAUUUUAGAUCUGUUUUUUCUUCUUCUUCAGAUCGGCUUCUUUCGGGUCGGUCACGGUUCGUGACCCGAGAGUUCAUCCCUGCAGCACAUCGGGUUGUUGGGCAUCGUCGGCGCUGAUGGUGGCUGGAUCUCAGGCGUGUCUGUGUUGCUGCUGGCUGAAGAAGCGCCGCUGGUCUGUGGGUUGCUGCUGGCUGCUGUGGCGCUGUUGGCGCGGUGGGGCGGAGGGAAGACUGAGAAGAAAACAACGGGGGCUGCGCCGUGUUCGGUCUGAGAUGAGAGGAGCGGUGGCCGGAGGAGUUAUGGUUUGGGGUUGAGGCCGGUGUGCAGGGGAGUCGGUCUGUUGCCGACCGAAGGAGAUGAUGAAGGGAAUGGGUCUGUCUUGGCUAGCCUUAGCCGUGGAAGAAAAUGAAAAUGGAAGAUGACCGGAGGCCUUGCCAGGGGAGAACGGCUGAAGGAAGAAGAAAAAAAAGUAAUCCGGG